Molecule: long non-coding RNA, 234 nt
Organism: Theobroma umbraticum
Lineage: Eukaryota; Viridiplantae; Streptophyta; Magnoliopsida; Malvales; Malvaceae
Source: RefSeq, a predicted model, not a curated record
CAGAGGGCGAACGGAGCCUUCCUCCUCCUCUUUCUUCUUCCUUGUUUUAGGGUUUAUCACAAAGAGAAGAGACCGCCAUUAGUCGUCGAGUUCGUGUCUCUUUCUCCGAAUUGCUGCAGAUUGGUGGCAAGGAUUGAACUGCAACGAACAACUAAUCUCCAGUUAUGGGGGAAGUGAAUUUCAUGCAAGAGGAAGAUAUUCGGUUGGAGACUACGCGAGCGAGAUGUAUCUAAG